CAGCACAUGGAGAGAAGAAGACGGGCUGUCAUCUCCAGCGAAGCGUCCUCCGAAGCGCAUCAGCAAAGCCACGUUUUCACUAAACUGUGAGGAGAAGCGCUGACAUCAUCUGUUGGUGGUGUCAUAAAUCCUGACCUGUGCUGCCUACCUAAGCCCUACCUAUUGAAACAAUGCAUUGAACCCUUUCGUCCUGGUUGCCCUGGUUACGGCCACUUAUCAAGGAGAGGUCUUAAAGAUCAAACAGAUUUGUAACUACAGGAACAAUGCUGAGGAACCACCAUCCGCUCCGCAGCUCUCUCAGCCCCACCCAGCAGCACUCAGCAAAUCAGUAAGAGAUGGAUUCAAGCAUCUCUGCAGUGUUUCUUCCUCAAAGAUAGAGAGAGAGAGAGAGGGGGUAGAGGGAAGUCACCGCCGUCACUGUAAGUCACCCACCUAAUCAGCUCAGCUCAGCACCUGGGGAGAGGGAGAGAGAGCGGAAAAGAGUGAGAGAGGUAACAAUUUUAAGGGGUGACUGAACAGCCACGUAAGGUGUUCCUGCUAUGUUCCCUCAAAGGAUGGGUUCACUGGAUGUGAAGGGAAUCAAAUUAGGAGAGGUGGCCAGCCGGGUUGGGGGCCGACGUGACGUGUUACUGUGGUGUUAUUGCAUUAAAGAAAUAUAUC
This is a long non-coding RNA of Sinocyclocheilus grahami, 660 nucleotides long. RefSeq lists it as uncharacterized. Lineage: Eukaryota; Metazoa; Chordata; Actinopteri; Cypriniformes; Cyprinidae. The transcript is spliced from 4 exons. The record is from RefSeq and is a predicted model, not a curated record.